GGACUUGGCUCAGUGGUAGAGCAACUGCUUUGCAUGCAGAAGGUCCCAGGCUCAAUCCCCAGGCAGGGCUG
This is a non-coding RNA of Podarcis lilfordi (Lilford's wall lizard), 71 nucleotides long. The record is from the annotation of a GenBank genome assembly. NCBI's taxonomy places the organism in Eukaryota, Metazoa, Chordata, Lepidosauria, Squamata, Lacertidae.